AUUCCAGCUCCAAUAGUGUAUAUUAAAGUUGCUGCGGUUAAAAAGCUCGUAGUUGGAUUUCGGAAUGCGUCGGGCAAAGCUCGCCUUCUGGGUGUGGCUCGUUUGGCGCUUCCUAUCUUUGGAUAAUGGCCCUCUUGCUUCACGGCUUGGGGAGCACCGUUUCCAAUCGUUUACUGUGAAAAAAUUAGAGUGUUCAAAGCAGGCGUAACCUUGCCAUUGAAUAUUACAGCAUGGGAUAAUAGAAUAUGACAUUGGUCUUAUUUUGUUGGUUUCUAGGGCUGAUGUAAUGAUUAAUAGGGAUAGUUGGGGUCGCUCGUAUUGAGUUGUCAGAGGUGAAAUUCUAGGAUUUACACAAGACGAACUAGUGCGAAAGCAUUCGACAAGGAUGUUUUCAUUAAUCAAGAACGAAAGUUGGGGGAUCGAAGAUGAUCAGAUACCGUCGUAGUCUCAACCAUAAACUAUGUGGACCAAGGAUCCGAGGACGUUACAUGGAUGACUCUCCGGGCACUUUGUGAGAAAUCAUAAGUAUUUGCAUUCCGGGGGGAGUAUGGUCUCAAGGCUGAAACUUAAGGAAUUGACGGAAGGGCACCACCAGGAGUGGAACCUGCGGCUUAAUUUGACCCAACACGGGGAAACUUACCAGGUCCGGACACUAUGAGGAUUGACAGAUUAAGAGCUCUUUCUUGAUUUAGUGGGUGGUGGUGCAUGGCCGUUUUUAGUUGGUGGAGUGAUCUGUCUGGUUAAUUCCGUUAACGAACGAGACCUUAACCUAUUAAUUAGUUACGCGAACUCGGGGGCAACUCCGGUCGGUUCGUGGGCGAACUUCUUAGAGGGACUCUCGGCAUCUCUAGCCGAUGGAAGUUUGAGGCAAAAACAGGUCUGUGAUGCCCUUAGAUGCCCUGGGCUGCACGCGCGUUACACUGACAAUCGCAACGAGUGGUCUCCUUGCCCGAUGGGGCUGGGUAAGCUUUGAAAAGAUUGUCGUGAUGGGAUUGAACCUUGCAAUUAUUGUUCAUGAACGAGGAAUUCCUAGUAAGCGUGGUUCAUCAGACCACGCUGAUUACGUCCCUGCCCUUUGUACACACCGCCCGUCGCUCCUACCGAUUGAAUGGUUCGGUGAGAACUCAGGACGGUCGUAUUGCAGUUGCUCGCAAGAGUAAACGGAUAUGAUCGGAAUUUGUUCAAACCUUACCAUUUAGAGGAAGGAGA
RNAcentral lists this ribosomal RNA (1209 nucleotides) under metagenome. RNAcentral describes it as "SSU rRNA". It matches the Rfam family "Eukaryotic small subunit ribosomal RNA", at positions 582 to 1786 of the family's 1831-position model. The record is from RNAcentral.